AAGACUCUCGGCAACGGAUAUCUCGGCUCUUGCAUCGAUGAAGAACGUAGCGAAAUGCGAUACUUGGUGUGAAUUGCAGAAUCCCGUGAACCAUCGAGUCUUUGAACGCAAGUUGCGCCCGAAGCCAUUAGGCUGAGGGCACGCCUGCCCGGGUGUUGCACAU
This 163-nucleotide ribosomal RNA is filed under the name Genista cf. monspessulana AK-2011. Its description in RNAcentral is "5.8S ribosomal RNA". It matches the Rfam family "5.8S ribosomal RNA". Rfam says of the family: 5.8S ribosomal RNA (5.8S rRNA) is a component of the large subunit of the eukaryotic ribosome. Lineage: Eukaryota; Viridiplantae; Streptophyta; Magnoliopsida; Fabales; Fabaceae. The record is from RNAcentral.